RNAcentral lists this ribosomal RNA (253 nucleotides) under uncultured bacterium. RNAcentral describes it as "partial 16S ribosomal RNA". It matches the Rfam family "Bacterial small subunit ribosomal RNA", at positions 524 to 776 of the family's 1533-position model. The record is from RNAcentral.
GACGUAGGGGGCCAGCGUUGUUCGGAAUUACUGGGUGUAAAGGGUUCGUAGGCGGUGUGGCAAGUCGGGAGUGAAAUCUCUGGGCUCAACUCAGAGACUGCUUCCGAAACUGCUGUGCUGGAGUGUGGGAGAGGCGCGUGGAAUUGCAGGUGUAGCGGUGAAAUGCGUAGGUAUCUGCAGGAACACCCGUGGCGAAAGCGGCGCGCUGGACCACUACUGACGCUGAGGAACGAAAGCUAGGGGAGCAAACAGG